RNAcentral lists this ribosomal RNA (2247 nucleotides) under Vibrio vulnificus. RNAcentral's name for it is "partial 23S ribosomal RNA". It matches the Rfam family "Bacterial large subunit ribosomal RNA", at positions 716 to 2925 of the family's 2925-position model. Lineage: Bacteria; Pseudomonadati; Pseudomonadota; Gammaproteobacteria; Vibrionales; Vibrionaceae. The record is from RNAcentral.
CGAAACCGAGUGAUCUAGCCAUGGGCAGGUUGAAGGUUGAGUAACAUCAACUGGAGGACCGAACCGACUAAUGUUGAAAAAUUAGCGGAUGACUUGUGGCUAGGGGUGAAAGGCCAAUCAAACUCGGAGAUAGCUGGUUCUCCCCGAAAGCUAUUUAGGUAGCGCCUCGGACGAAUACUACUGGGGGUAGAGCACUGUUAAGGCUAGGGGGUCAUCCCGACUUACCAACCCUUUGCAAACUCCGAAUACCAGUAAGUACUAUCCGGGAGACACACGGCGGGUGCUAACGUCCGUCGUGGAGAGGGAAACAACCCAGACCGCCAGCUAAGGUCCCAAAUUACAGCUAAGUGGGAAACGAUGUGGGAAGGCUUAGACAGCUAGGAUGUUGGCUUAGAAGCAGCCAUCAUUUAAAGAAAGCGUAAUAGCUCACUAGUCGAGUCGGCCUGCGCGGAAGAUGUAACGGGGCUAAGUUGUAAACCGAAGCUGCGGCAAUGUUCUUUGAACAUUGGGUAGGGGAGCGUUCUGUAAGCCGUUGAAGGUGUGUUGUAAAGCAUGCUGGAGGUAUCAGAAGUGCGAAUGCUGACAUGAGUAACGACAAGGGGGGUGAAAAACCUCCCCGCCGGAAGACCAAGGGUUCCUGUCCAACGUUAAUCGGGGCAGGGUAAGUCGACCCCUAAGGCGAGGCUGAAAAGCGUAGUCGAUGGGAAACGGGUUAAUAUUCCCGUACUUCUUACAAUUGCGAUGGGGGGACGGAGAAGGCUAGGUGGGCCUGGCGACGGUUGUCCAGGUUCAAGUGCGUAGGCUGAGUGUUUAGGUAAAUCCGGAUACUCUUAAGGCUGAGACACGACGUCGAGCUACUACGGUAGUGAAGUCAUUGAUGCCAUGCUUCCAGGAAAAGCCUCUAAGCUUCAGAUUGUAAGGAAUCGUACCCCAAACCGACACAGGUGGUCGGGUAGAGAAUACCAAGGCGCUUGAGAGAACUCGGGUGAAGGAACUAGGCAAAAUGGUACCGUAACUUCGGGAGAAGGUACGCUCUUGAUGGUGAAGUCCCUUGCGGAUGGAGCUGACGAGAGUCGCAGAUACCAGGUGGCUGCAACUGUUUAUUAAAAACACAGCACUGUGCAAAAUCGUAAGAUGACGUAUACGGUGUGACGCCUGCCCGGUGCCGGAAGGUUAAUUGAUGGGGUUAGCGUAAGCGAAGCUCUUGAUCGAAGCCCCGGUAAACGGCGGCCGUAACUAUAACGGUCCUAAGGUAGCGAAAUUCCUUGUCGGGUAAGUUCCGACCUGCACGAAUGGCGUAAUGAUGGCCACGCUGUCUCCACCCGAGACUCAGUGAAAUUGAAAUCGCUGUGAAGAUGCAGUGUACCCGCGGCUAGACGGAAAGACCCCGUGAACCUUUACUACAGCUUGGCACUGAACAUUGAACCUACAUGUGUAGGAUAGGUGGGAGGCUUUGAAGACGUGACGCCAGUUGCGUUGGAGCCGUCCUUGAAAUACCACCCUUGUAUGUUUGAUGUUCUAACGUUGGCCCCUAAUCGGGGUUGCGGACAGUGCCUGGUGGGUAGUUUGACUGGGGCGGUCUCCUCCCAAAGAGUAACGGAGGAGCACGAAGGUGGGCUAAUCACGGUUGGACAUCGUGAGGUUAGUGCAAUGGCAUAAGCCCGCUUAACUGCGAGAAUGACGGUUCGAGCAGGUGCGAAAGCAGGUCAUAGUGAUCCGGUGGUUCUGAAUGGAAGGGCCAUCGCUCAACGGAUAAAAGGUACUCCGGGGAUAACAGGCUGAUACCGCCCAAGAGUUCAUAUCGACGGCGGUGUUUGGCACCUCGAUGUCGGCUCAUCACAUCCUGGGGCUGAAGUCGGUCCCAAGGGUAUGGCUGUUCGCCAUUUAAAGUGGUACGCGAGCUGGGUUUAGAACGUCGUGAGACAGUUCGGUCCCUAUCUGCCGUGGGCGUUGGAAGAUUGAAGGGGGCUGCUCCUAGUACGAGAGGACCGGAGUGGACGAACCUCUGGUGUUCGGGUUGUGUCGCCAGACGCAUUGCCCGGUAGCUAAGUUCGGAAUCGAUAACCGCUGAAAGCAUCUAAGCGGGAAGCGAGCCCUGAGAUGAGUCUUCCCUGAUACUUUAAGUAUCCUAAAGGGUUGUUCGAGACUAGAACGUUGAUAGGCAGGGUGUGUAAGCGCUGUGAGGCGUUGAGCUAACCUGUACUAAUUGCCCGUGAGGCUUAACCAUACAACACCCAAAGGGUUUUG